Molecule: long non-coding RNA, 1903 nt
Organism: Trematomus bernacchii (emerald rockcod)
Lineage: Eukaryota; Metazoa; Chordata; Actinopteri; Perciformes; Nototheniidae
Exons: 2
Source: RefSeq, a predicted model, not a curated record
UGUUAAUCUAAUACAGCUCCGGCGAUCCACUAGCACCCCCCCCCCGCGGUGGUUUUGGAAAUGCUCCCGAUUUCUGAGGUCUCAAGGUUGGCAAGUAUGACCAUAUGACUCAUUUCAUGACUAUAUGAAUGACGAUUGACCUCCUGUAAUGUUGUGUUGUACAAUCUUUCUUUAGGAACUUGAGAAUGUAAUUAUUAUCCUAUUUUGUGCAAUCAAAUGUGUAUUUAUAACUGUCUGAUUUGAAUUAAGAACAUAUGUGAUCACUGCUGACACGCUUCUGAGUGUGUGUGCUCAUUACAUUUCCUCUGGUGUACUGUGGUGUGUAUGUUGGGUAGGUGGGACGAUCUAGGUGAUUGAAAGCAGGAAGUAAAUUAAACAAGGUAAUCAUUUACAACAGUUGCUGCUGUGAUAGUACUCGAGACCACCAUGAGACCUCACUACUGCCUGACCGUCCUUAUUGCAUCCUUACUAGUAGAGCCCCUCUUCACUCUGAAUGGUACGUUUUUGUUAUUCAAUCUACAGCUAAAUACUCAAAAGGGCAGCGUUAAAAACCUACAGAAAAAGAAACUGCAUAGAAUGUGAAUGAGGUUAUAAUUCGAGAAGGAAGGGUAAAAUACAUGAGCGUCCAUUUGAGUGGAGACCAAUGAAUGGCUGUCAAACUGUAAUACAAUAUAGAAAUUGGAUCUGUAUUGCAGUAAUUUAAGUUAUAGAUUGUGUAAGUGGAGGUAGAGGUUGAUGGAACAUAUUAGCCAUUCUUCUAAUACAAAGAUAUCAGGGACUAGAAAUGACAUAAAAUGUGUUUCGGCAUUAUAUUCCUCCUCCUGGAAAAGGGCAGAACAGCAAUGUAAUUAUGUAUUAUUUGUAAUAUCACUAUCAAAGACAUUGGAGCUCAUUCGCUUUGAAUUUCGGCCGCAUUGAAUGGCACUUUCCAAAAAGAAAAUGCCCCGCUUUUUGGGGAUUUGCAGUCUCAAUCCGAGCCAUGGCUACAAUCUCUGACAGUCGGUAAUGUUAACUUAAACAUAUCUAACGUGGAAGGAAGUAGCACAAAUCUCAAGGUUAAAAGAAAAGGUGCAAUGACCACAAAAACAUCACGUCUGAGUCGCUGACCUGAUUUUACAGUUAGAGGUCUGCAGCUGCAGCGUGAGAAACAAACCAAUAGCUUAUCUGUGAUCUAAUUAUUUAGUUAUUGCUCAUUCAGAUCUAAUGACUACAUAAAGGGUCAUUGUGUUCAUAGCCUUUUAAAACACAUUAACAGAUAAAGACAUCCACAUAUUGCAUGCAUCACCUACCCUGCAAACAACACAACGCAGGGGAAUGUAUUUUAUAUUGCAUUCUGGGGGUUUAUUACAAGAUGCAAUAGAUUAUUAUACAAAAUGCAGGUCUAUUUGGUACAUAAUGAAGUAAAAAUGUAUUUAUUUUGUGUUAGAUUAUUACAAAAUGCCUUGCUGAUACAUAAUGUGUUGUUGCAGGCCUUUACUAUUGCCUAUAAUAAUCAUAUUGAAGAUAUAAAGUCACCUUUGUUGUGGAAAGUAAACAAUGUGAAUGCUUUUCAGGGGACGUAAUGGAGCCUGAAAAACCGAAGAAGCAAGAAUUGAGAUCUUGGUAUUCCACAAUCCGCAUUUUUGGGGCCGUGGUGUUUUUAUCCAUAAUGCUAAUUAUUUGUGCAGGAGCAUCCGAGGACACAACACAUCCGAGCCCUCAGAACUAUGAUGCCUUGCAUGCCACUCACUUCUAUGAUAACGACCAGUAGUCCCAAUGUGUGUGCAUUUAAAACAAUCAAAUCUGUAACUUGUAAUUGUGUUUUCAUGGCCUUGAAAUGUAUUUAUUUUUUACUGUUGACAAUAUAUAAUAUCUUUCUUCAUAAUGGUGUUUACUGUCAAAAAUAAAAUAUAUAUUGAAUAUA